RNAcentral lists this ribosomal RNA (457 nucleotides) under uncultured bacterium. RNAcentral's name for it is "bacterial SSU rRNA". It matches the Rfam family "Bacterial small subunit ribosomal RNA", at positions 340 to 786 of the family's 1533-position model. The record is from RNAcentral.
UACGGAAGGCAGCGGUGGGGAAUAUUGCACAAUGGGCGAAAGCCUGAUGCAGCUAUGCCGCGUGUAUGAAGAAGGCCUUAGGGUUGUAAAGUACUUUCAUCGGGGAGGAAAAAACAAAACUAAUAAUUUUAUUUCUUGACGUUACCCGAAAAAGAAGCACCGGCUAACUCCGUGCCAGCAGCCGCGGUAAUACGGAGGGUGCUAGCGUUAAUCAGAAUUACUGGGCGUAAAGAGCACGUAGGUGGUUUUUUUAAAGUCAGAUGUGAAAUCCCUGGGCUUAACCUGGAACUGCAUUUUGAAACUGAAAUACUAGAGUAUCGUAGAGGGAGGUAGAAUUCUAGGUGUAGCGGUGAAAUGCGUAGAUAUCUGGAGGAAUACCUGUGGCGAAAGCGGCCUCCUAAACGAAUACUGACACUGAGGGUGCGAAAGCGUGGGGAGCAAACAGGGAUUAGAUACC